GAGGGUAUAGCUCAGUGGUAGAGUGCAUGCCUCGCAUGCAUGAAAUCCUGGGUACAAUCCCUAGUACCUCCA
Molecule: transfer RNA, 72 nt
Organism: Camelus ferus (Wild Bactrian camel)
Lineage: Eukaryota; Metazoa; Chordata; Mammalia; Artiodactyla; Camelidae
Rfam family: tRNA
About the family: Transfer RNA (tRNA) molecules are approximately 80 nucleotides in length. Their secondary structure includes four short double-helical elements and three loops (D, anti-codon, and T loops). Further hydrogen bonds mediate the characteristic L-shaped molecular structure. tRNAs have two regions of fundamental functional importance: the anti-codon, which is responsible for specific mRNA codon recognition, and the 3' end, to which the tRNAs corresponding amino acid is attached (by aminoacyl-tRNA synthetases). tRNAs cope with the degeneracy of the genetic code in two manners: having more than one tRNA (with a specific anti-codon) for a particular amino acid; and 'wobble' base-pairing, i.e. permitting non-standard base-pairing at the 3rd anti-codon position.
Source: Rfam